RNAcentral lists this ribosomal RNA (178 nucleotides) under uncultured Flavobacterium sp. Its description in RNAcentral is "partial 16S ribosomal RNA". It matches the Rfam family "Bacterial small subunit ribosomal RNA", at positions 336 to 511 of the family's 1533-position model. The record is from RNAcentral. Lineage: Bacteria; Pseudomonadati; Bacteroidota; Flavobacteriia; Flavobacteriales; Flavobacteriaceae.
CUCCUACGGGAGGCAGCAGUGAGGAAUAUUGGACAAUGGGCGCAAGCCUGAUCCAGCCAUGCCGCGUGCAGGAUGACGGUCCUAUGGAUUGUAAACUGCUUUUGCACAGGAAGAAACAACGCUACGUGUAGCGUCUUGACGGUACUGUGAAAAUAAGGAUCGGCUAACUCCGUGCCAG